Long non-coding RNA from Quercus lobata, 116 nucleotides. RefSeq lists it as uncharacterized. The record is from RefSeq and is a predicted model, not a curated record. The transcript has 3 exons. Lineage: Eukaryota; Viridiplantae; Streptophyta; Magnoliopsida; Fagales; Fagaceae.
GAUCCUUGAAGGUUGUUUGGUCUUUUCCUCCAUUCGAAUCAAGGUUAAAGUGACCACAUGGCACUUUUUAAAGCUUUUGAAGGAUAGAAGGAUGCAAACCAUAAUGAAAAGUGUCC